This is an RNA transcript of Piliocolobus tephrosceles (Ugandan red Colobus), 737 nucleotides long. RefSeq lists it as uncharacterized. The record is from RefSeq and is a predicted model, not a curated record. Lineage: Eukaryota; Metazoa; Chordata; Mammalia; Primates; Cercopithecidae. The transcript has 4 exons.
AUGCCUCACAGUGGCCAUUCUGGCUCAGCUUUUGCCUUUUGGCAGCAUGUCCAGGCCCAGAACUUCCUCAAGCUCAGCUCUUGCCUAACGGAGUUCGUCCUUGGCCAAGUUCCUGCCUGCCUCCCAACAGGCUCGAAAGGCCCAGCUCCUGCCCCCGACAGUCUCUCCAGGCCAAAAUCUUCCUCAAGUCAGCCUCUACAGGCUGGUCUCUUGCCUCACACUGGCCUCUCCAGGCCCAGCUCCUGCAUCUUGGCAGCCUCUCCAGGCCCAGCUCUUGCCUCGUGGCAGCUGCCCCAGGCCAAGUUUCUGACUGCCUGCCAGCAGCCUCAACAGGCACAGCUCCUCCCUCAUGCUGGCCUGUUUACACCAGCCUCUGCCUCACAGUGGACCCUCCAGACCCAGAUCAUGUCUUACUCAUUUGCCUCACGGCAGCCUCCCCAGGCCACAAAUCUGCCUGUCUCCCAGCAGUCUUGACAAGUCCAGCUGCUGCCUCACAAUGGCCCCUUUAGGCCCAGCUCAUGCCAAAAGGUGGGCAUAGCUCUUGCCUCCUGGCAGCCUCUGCAGGCCCCAAUUCUCCAAAAGUUGGCCUCUCCCAACCCAGCUCCUACCUCACGUCAGCCUACACAGGCCCAAACUCUACCACACAGUGGCCCUUCCAGGCCUACCACUUGCCUGAUCAUGGCCUCCUCAGGUGAAGCUCCUGCCUCACAAUGGCCUCUGUAGGCCAAGCUCAUGUC